GUUCCCUGGAAAUUGCAGUAGAAGUCCUCAGCUUACUCAACAAUCAGAUAGAGGAGCAUUUGUAUUUCAGAGAUUCCUUUUAAAAGGCUGUUUUUGUUAUUCUAACAUUUCUUUGCUACGGAGUGAGACUGAUUUACUCAAUGUCCAAAAUGUAACUAUGAGCCAACAUGCAGCAGCUCAGAGGGCCCUGGAACCACCAGUACAGCUCCAGUGGCUUCAUUUGCAAGCACCCGGUGGCCAGGGCUCUUUUUCACAUAAACUCACUGUAAAGCUUUCUUUUGGAUGUUCAAACAUACAUGCGGUACAGUUCUGUGCAGGUGAAGAGUUACACUGGACAAUAAACCCUUCUUACCUUUUUAGGCCAAACACUUGCUCCUACUUCAGGAAAGACGGUAGCUCCCCCUGCUGACACAUCGCUCAUCUGGAAAGGUGGCAAAAGGCACAGCUACUUCUGCUUUCUCAUCCUUCCCCAAGAGGAGCACCGAUGAGGGCAGCUCUCCAGCCCCAGACUCAGCCAGCACCACUCAGCAGGAACAGUGAGCCCUGCUGCUGCUCUGCCCUCAGCAUCCUGUGCUCCUCCCUGGCACACACGCUUUUGGAGUGCCAUGAAGAACCCCAUGAGUGGUUCAUUCAGCAGCGUGCUGUACUGCAGCCACAGAGUGCCCAAUGCAGCCAUUCCUGAAGCUUUCAACAGGAGUAAGGUAGGAGUAUGCGAAACGUGAGCGUGUCGUGUGGCUGCAGUAACACCAGCCCCGCGCUGGGUUCAGAAGGGAGCACCUGAUUUAAGGAACAAAACCCCACGCUGGGGGGUAUGAGCGAGCUUUUGUGGUGCCUCUACUUCUGUUGUGUUUUUUGGUUAUUCUCUAAUCACGCAGAGCCCAGCUCCCGUGCCCACUACUUGUGUGUGCUAAAACUUCCAGCAAUCAGUAUUUCAGAAACCAUCCCAAAGCAUUUCCAAACAGAAACUGUUAAAUCACUUGCAAUGCUUUUGAGCAGAGCAGAAAUUCUAAUUAAUAGCUGGUGGCCUGGAUUCACAGCAUAAGGAUAAUUUGAAAGCGUUAAAUCACAAACAAGUGUGCCCAGUAAAUAACCAACUGAAUUCAGCAUAAUUAUUUCCAGCACUCUGAAAUUUAAGCUGGAAGAGAAAUAAGUUGUGAAUUUCAGUCAAAUAAAAGGAGGAUGGUGUGAUGAGAAAAACUAAGUAGCGAAAAAAAG
Coturnix japonica (Japanese quail) is the source of this 1215-nucleotide long non-coding RNA. RefSeq lists it as uncharacterized. The record is from RefSeq and is a predicted model, not a curated record. Lineage: Eukaryota; Metazoa; Chordata; Aves; Galliformes; Phasianidae.